This 534-nucleotide ribosomal RNA is filed under the name Hansenula anomala. Its description in RNAcentral is "Wickerhamomyces anomalus partial large subunit ribosomal RNA". It matches the Rfam family "Eukaryotic large subunit ribosomal RNA", at positions 79 to 628 of the family's 3401-position model. Lineage: Eukaryota; Fungi; Ascomycota; Saccharomycetes; Phaffomycetales; Wickerhamomycetaceae. The record is from RNAcentral.
CUCAGUAACGGCGAGUGAAGCGGCAAAAGCUCAAAUUUGAAAUCUAGCACCUUCGGUGUUCGAGUUGUAAUUUGAAGAUGGUAACCUUGGGUUUGGCUCUUGUCUAUGUUCCUUGGAACAGGACGUCAUAGAGGGUGAGAAUCCCGUCUGAUGAGAUGCCCAUUCCUAUGUAAGGUGCUAUCGAAGAGUCGAGUUGUUUGGGAAUGCAGCUCUAAGUGGGUGGUAAAUUCCAUCUAAAGCUAAAUAUUGGCGAGAGACCGAUAGCGAACAAGUACAGUGAUGGAAAGAUGAAAAGAACUUUGAAAAGAGAGUGAAAAAGUACGUGAAAUUGUUGAAAGGGAAGGGCAUUAGAUCAGACUUGGUGUUUUACGAUUAUCUUCUCUUCUUGAGUUGUGCACUCGUAUUUCACUGGGCCAGCAUCGAUUCGGAUGGCAAGAUAAUGGCAGUUGAAUGUGGCUUCACUUCGGUGGAGUGUUAUAGCUUCUGCUGAUAUUGCCUGUCUGGAUCGAGGGCUGCGUCUUGACUAGGAUGCUG